This 493-nucleotide ribosomal RNA is filed under the name uncultured bacterium. Its description in RNAcentral is "bacterial SSU rRNA". It matches the Rfam family "Bacterial small subunit ribosomal RNA", at positions 36 to 518 of the family's 1533-position model. The record is from RNAcentral.
CUGGCGGCGCGUCUUAAGCAUGCAAGUCGAACGGCAAGAGGUAGCAAUACCUCCUAGAGUGGCGGACUGGUGAGUAACACGUGGGUGACAUACCCUUCAGAUGGGGAUAGCUAUUAGAAAUAGUAGAUAAUACCGAAUACGAGCACAGGGGUUAGAGAUCUGUGAGGAAAGGAGCUAAGGCUCCGCUGAAGGAAUGGCCUGCGGCCCAUUAGCUAGUUGGUGAGGUAAGAGCCCACCAAGGCGAUGAUGGGUAUCCGGCCUUAGAGGGUGAACGGACACAUUGGGACUGAGAUACGGCCCAGACUCCUACGGGAGGCAGCAGCUAAGAAUAUUCCGCAAUGGACGAAAGUCUGACGGAGCGACGCCGCGUGGAUGAAGAAGGCCGGAAGGUUGUAAAAUCCUUUUGAAACUGAAGAAUAAGCGUUGUAGGGAAUGACAGCGUGGUGACAGUAGGUUUUGAAUAAGCAACGGCUAAUUACGUGCCAGCAGCCGC